The sequence is a regulatory RNA element, 115 nucleotides long. It matches the Rfam family "Ribosomal protein L10 leader". From Rfam's summary of the family: This family is a putative r-protein leader autoregulatory structure found in B. subtilis and other low-GC Gram-positive bacteria. The record is from Rfam.
UGAAAUGAAAAAACUAAGCCAAAGACAGUAGGUGUAAAGGUAAAUCCUACCGAGGUGAGUAUGAUAUAUUUUUGUAUAUUUUUACCUCUGGCUUGAGAGGUUUUUUUGCGUAUAU